CGCACAAGCGGNGGAGCAUGUGGUUUAAUUCGAAGCAACGCGAAGANCCUUACCAGGUCUUGACAUACUCGUGCUAUUCCUAGAGAUAGGAAGUUCCUUCGGGACACGGGAUACAGGUGGUGCAUGGUUGUCGUCAGCUCGUGUCGUGAGAUGUUGGGUUAAGUCCCGCAACGAGCGCAACCCUUAUUGUUAGUUGCCAUCAUUAAGUUGGGCACUCUAGCGAGACUGCCGGUAAUAAACCGGAGGAAGGUGGGGAUGACGUCAAAUCAUCAUGCCCCUUAUGACCUGGGCUACACACGUGCUACAAUGGUUGGUACAACGAGUCGCAAGACAGUGAUGUCAAGCUAAUCUCUUAAAGCCAAUCUCAGUUCGGAUUGUAGGCUGCAACUCGCCUACAUGAAGUCGGAAUCGCUAGUAAUCGCGGAUCAGCACGCCGCGGUGAAUACGUUCCCGGGCCUUGUACACACCGCCCGUCACACCACGAGAGUUUGUAAUACCCAAAGCCGGUGAGCUAACCUUUUAGGAGGCAGCCGUCUAAGGUAGGAUAGAUGAUUGGGGUGAAGUC
RNAcentral lists this ribosomal RNA (565 nucleotides) under uncultured Lactococcus sp. RNAcentral's name for it is "bacterial SSU rRNA". It matches the Rfam family "Bacterial small subunit ribosomal RNA", at positions 922 to 1487 of the family's 1533-position model. Lineage: Bacteria; Bacillati; Bacillota; Bacilli; Lactobacillales; Streptococcaceae. The record is from RNAcentral.